RNAcentral lists this ribosomal RNA (1464 nucleotides) under Pseudancistrus genisetiger. RNAcentral's name for it is "partial 16S ribosomal RNA". It matches the Rfam family "Bacterial large subunit ribosomal RNA", at positions 253 to 2563 of the family's 2925-position model. Lineage: Eukaryota; Metazoa; Chordata; Actinopteri; Siluriformes; Loricariidae. The record is from RNAcentral.
GCCAAACAGCUAGCUUAAACACCUAAAUUUUUACAACACCAUACAAAAAACUUCACCCAACUUAAACCACACAACUAAAACAUUCUCCCGCCCUAGUAUGAGCGACAGAAAAGGCACUGCCAAAGCAAUAAAAAAGUACCGCAAGGGAAAGCUGAAAGAGAAAUGAAACAAACCAUUUAAGCCAAACAAAGCAGAGACUUAACCUCGUACCUUUUGCAUCAUGAUUUAGCCAGUCAUCCUGAGCAAAGAGAUCUUUAGUUCAGUACCCCGAAACUAGGUGAGCUACCCCGGGGCAGCUUAUUUAGAGCCAACCCGUCUCUGUGGCAAAAGAGUGGGAUGACCUCUGGGUAGGGGUGACAGACCUACCGAACCUAGUAAUAGCUGGUUGCCUAAGAAAUGGAUAGAAGUUCAGCCUCGCACUCCUCAACUCACAAAAAGUCUACACUAACCUACGACCCCGAGAAAUAUGCGAGAGUUAGUCGGAGGGGGUACAGCCCCUCCGAAAAGGGACACAACCCUACCAGGAGGUUAAAGAUUAUACUAAACAAGAUUAUUGCCUUAGUGGGCCUAAAAGCAGCCACCUAAACAGAAAGCGUUAAAGCUCAAGCAACUAACAAUCAAUUAUUCAAAUAAUUUAUCUAAAACCCCUAACCAUAUUAGGCCAUUCUAUGCCAACAUAGAAGCAAUACUGCUAAAAUGAGUAAUAAGAAGGACACACCCUUCUCCAAGCCUGUGUGUAAGCUAGAUCGGACUAACCACUAGCCAUUAACGAACCCAAUAAAAGAGGGCAAUAUGACCAAAUAAAACAAUCAAGAAAAAAUCAUAACCCAUAAUCGUUAACCCUACACUGGAAGGCCCAAAGGAAAGACUAAAAGAAAAGGAAGGAACUCGGCAAACACAAGCCUCGCCUGUUUACCAAAAACAUCGCCUCCCGCAAAAAUCAACGUAUAGGAGGUCUUGCCUGCCCAGUGACUGUAAGUUAAACGGCCGCGGUAUUUUGACCGUGCAAAGGUAGCGCAAUCACUUGUCUUUUAAAUGAAGACCUGUAUGAAUGGUGAAACGAGGGCUUAACUGUCUCCCUUUUCCAGUCAAUGAAAUUGAUCUACCCGUGCAGAAGCGGGUAUUGUACUACAAGACGAGAAGACCCUUUGGAGCUUAAGAUGAUGGAUCAACCAUGUCAAAAGCCCUGAAAAAGAAGCCAAACAAAAUAGCACACUGAUCCUAAUCUUCGGUUGGGGUGACCGCGGGAGAAAACAAAGCUCCCACGCGGACUGGGGUAGCCCCCUAAAACUAAGAGAGACAUCUCUAAGACACAGAACAUCUGACCACAAUGAUCCGGCUACACGCCGAUCAACGAACCAAGUUACCCUAGGGAUAACAGCGCAAUCCCCUUCCAGAGUCCAUAUCGACAAGGGGGUUUACGACCUCGAUGUUGGAUCAGGACAUCCUAAUGGUGCAGCCGCU